UACGUAGGGUGCGAGCGUUAAUCGGAAUUACUGGGCGUAAAGCGUGCGCAGGCGGUUAUGCAAGACAGAUGUGAAAUCCCCGGGCUCAACCUGGGAACUGCAUUUGUGACUGCAUGACUAGAGUACGGCAGAGGGGGAUGGAAUUCCGCGUGUAGCAGUGAAAUGCGUAGAUAUGCGGAGGAACACCGAUGGCGAAGGCAAUCCCCUGGGCCUGUACUGACGCUGAGGCGCGAAAGCCAGGGGAGCAAACGGG
Molecule: ribosomal RNA, 253 nt
Filed under: uncultured bacterium
Lineage: Bacteria
Description: partial 16S ribosomal RNA
Rfam family: Bacterial small subunit ribosomal RNA
Source: RNAcentral